This 419-nucleotide ribosomal RNA is filed under the name bacterium. RNAcentral's name for it is "partial 16S ribosomal RNA". It matches the Rfam family "Bacterial small subunit ribosomal RNA", at positions 355 to 776 of the family's 1533-position model. The record is from RNAcentral.
UGGGGGAUAUUGCACAAUGGGCGAAAGCCUGAUGCGGCGACGCCGCGUGGGGGAUGAAGGCCUUCGGGUUGUAAACUUCUUUUGCUCUGAACAAGGCGCACCAUGGGGUGUGUUGAGUGUAGGGGUUGAUUAGCGCCGGCUAACUACGUGCCAGCAGCCGCGGUAAUACGUAGGGCGCGAGCGUUGUCCGGAAUUAUUGGGCGUAAAGGGCUUGUAGGUGGCUGGUUGCGUCUGUCGUGAAAGCUCAUGGCUUAACUGUGGGUUUGCGGUGGGUACGGGCUGGCUUGAGUGCAGUAGGGGAGGCUGGAAUUCCUGGUGUAGCGGUGGAAUGCGCAGAUAUCAGGAGGAAUACCGGUGGCGAAGGCGGGUCUCUGGGCUGUUACUGACACUGAGGAGCGAAAGCAUGGGGAGCGAACAGG